RNAcentral lists this long non-coding RNA (1092 nucleotides) under Monodelphis domestica (gray short-tailed opossum). RNAcentral's name for it is "lncRNA (ENSMODG00000042655.1)". The record is from RNAcentral. Lineage: Eukaryota; Metazoa; Chordata; Mammalia; Didelphimorphia; Didelphidae.
GUGCGGUGCUCUGCCGUGGGGGCAGUGGGGCUGAGAAGGCCAAGAAGGAGAGGGGAUAUGGCAAUACCCGGCUCCAUCCAAGAUGGAGGGCCGGGCCAUGAGCUCUUGCUGUUCCCAGGUCUCACUCUUCCUGAGCCCAGCGGUUGGCCCUUUCCUUGUGUGGCUCAUAUGACUAAUGAGGAAACUGAGGCAAACAGGAUGAAGUGACUUGCCCAGGUCACACGGCUAGUCAGUGGCUGAGGAUGCCCAAGAAAGGGAAGAGGCGGUGGGCUCUCUGGGUGGAAGGGGCAUGCAGGGGGUGCUGAGAGAAGGUGAAGAGGAAUGGGGAAAGGCUUCCUGCAGUCCAAGGAGGCGGGAAGCUAGAGAGCAGCGAGGAGGAAGAGAGCCUGAGCCGGGCAAAGGGCAGUGAGGAGGCCAGCGGCAGGCUGGCGGGGGAGCAAAGAAGCCCUGAACGCCCAGCGCAGGGCUCGAGCCUUGCUCCUCCAGGUUUCAGGGCCGGGCCGGGCUUUCCGGAGCUCCCUUGGCCAGCUGAAUGGAAGAUGGCGCAGGGUGCAUUCGAGGCCGGAGCCGCCAUGUUGGAUUGGGAGGCUGCCAGGCGGUGGGAAGGCCGCCUGGGACCGGAUGGAGGCUGUCUGGGAAGCUCUUGGAGACGGCCUCAGGGGCAUCAGCUGCGGAGGCGGAGGGCGGGCCUGGAGCUCGAGGCAAGGAGCCUCGGCCUAGCCUUGGAACGCCUCGGCUUCGCCUGGCCCCCCCGGCUCUGCUCCCACAGCCUUGGCGUCCCCCGGAGCCGCGGGAGGCACCUUUCCCGCAGCUGUCUCUGGGGGCCCAGGCUUCCGUGGGGAUGGGCCGGCCAGCGGGCCCUGGAGGACCGCCUGGAGCAGAGCGCGGCGGCCAGGAAGCCCAAGAGCAGGACCAAGUUCUCCCCGGAGCAGCUGCGGGGCCUCCGGACCAUCUUUGCCGGCUCGCUGUACCUGACCCCCGAGAAGGGCCACCAGCUGGCCGCGCUUCUGGGGCUGAGCUACAAGCAGGUACGGCGGGACGUCUGAGGGCCCUGGAGGCCUGGCAUUGGGGGGAUGAGGCGGCCAGCAGGCC